Suricata suricatta (meerkat) is the source of this 507-nucleotide long non-coding RNA. RefSeq lists it as uncharacterized. Lineage: Eukaryota; Metazoa; Chordata; Mammalia; Carnivora; Herpestidae. The record is from RefSeq and is a predicted model, not a curated record. The transcript is spliced from 3 exons.
CUGGCCUUCCAGUGGGACAAAUGGAGAGCAGUUCUGGCCUGGAUGUAGCCACGGUGGACUCGUGGCAAGGAGGGACAGUACCUCAGCGCGGCUGCUGGCUGGGAGAGCAGUGUGAGGAGAAACAGACCCACAGUGGAAACAGCAGGGAGCUCCUCUCUUUCUGAAACAGGUGGUGGGUCAGACUUGGCCCAUAGUCAGUAGUUUGCUGAACACUGAUCCAGAUGACUCGGACAUGCUGACUGAUGCGCCCCCAACCCCUACACCCACCCCCACCAUGACGUGCACCAGAAGGAUGAGAAAGCAUGAAGUCUCUCUUGAUGGACGAUUCUGAUGACUGUGCAAAAUGUACAAAUGUUGAUUAUUCUAUGAUCCACAUCUACCUAAUGGGACCCCUCUUCAGGCCAGAACUCUACAUAAGAAAUUAACCUUUUUCUGGUAUAUAUUUUAAGAAGUCACAAGUUAAUUUCUCCUCUUAUAAUUAAAUUGUAUGAUAGAAUAAUAAAAUAA